This 1433-nucleotide ribosomal RNA is filed under the name uncultured prokaryote. RNAcentral's name for it is "partial 16S ribosomal RNA". It matches the Rfam family "Bacterial small subunit ribosomal RNA". The record is from RNAcentral.
UAAUACAUGCAAGUCGAACGCGAAAGUACCUUCGGGUGCGAGUAGAGUGGCGAAAGGGCGAGUAAUGCAUUUCUAACGUGCCCCAAGGGCAGGGAUAGCAUCGGGAAGCUGGUGGUAAUACCUCAUAAUCCUGGUUGAUCGGAUGUUCAACCAGGCAAAGGCUUGGUCGCUCGGGGAGCGGGGAACAUCCUAUCAGGUUGUUGGUGAGGUAACGGCUCACCAAGCCAAAGACGGGUAGCGGGUGUGAGAGCAUGACCCGCCGCAUCGGGACUGAGACACUGCCCGGACUCCUACGGGAGGCUGCAGUAACGAAUAUUCCGCAAUGGACGAAAGUCUGACGGAGCAAUGCCGCGUGCAGGAUGAAGCCCUUCGGGGUGUAAACUGCUGUCAGAGUUUAGGAACACAAUGACCAGACUCAAAGGAAGGGCCGGCUAACUUCGUGCCAGCAGCCGCGGUAAUACGAAGGGCCCGAGCGUUAAUCGGAAUCACUGGGCUUAAAGCGUACGUAGGCGGACAUGUAGGUACUUUGUGAAAUCCCACCGCUCAACGGUGGAACUGCUAGGUAUACCGCAUGUCUUGAGACAGGUAGGGGUCGUUGGAACAAUAGGUGGAGCGGUGAAAUGCGUAGAUAUCUAUUGGAACGCCAAAGGCGAAGGCAAGCUGCUGGGCCGAAUCUGACGCUGAGACACGAAAGCAUGGGUAGCGAACGGGAUUAGAUACCCCGGUAGUCCAUGCCGUAAACGAUGUACACUAGUUCGAGAGGGCUCUGACGCCAGCUUGGACGAAGCGAAAUUGAUAAGUGCACCGCCUGGGGAGUACGGCCGCAAGGCUAAAACUCAAAGGAAUUGACGGGGGCUCACACAAGCGGUGGAGCAUGUGGCUUAAUUCGAAGCAACGCGAAGAACCUUAUCCAGGGUUUGACAUGCAUGGAUUAACUCCUAGAAAAGGAAGAGUUGCCCUUCGGGUGGAACGUGCACAGGUGCUGCAUGGCUGUCGUCAGCUCGUGCUGUGAAGUGUCGGGUUAAGUCCCUUAACGAGCGAAACCCCUAUCUUUAGUUGCCAACGGGUAAUGCCGGGGACUCUAGAGAGACUGCCGGUGUCAAACCGGAGGAAGGUGGGGAUGACGUCAAGUCCUCAUGGCCUUUAUGCCCUGGGCUGCACACGUGCUACAAUGCGGCGUACAAAGCGAAGCAAUAUCGUAAGGUGGAGCAAAUCGCAAAAAGCGCCGCUCAGUUCGGAUUGUGGUCUGCAACUCGACCACAUGAAGCUGGAAUCGCUAGUAAUCGCGUAUCAGCUACGACGCGGUGAAUACGUUCCUGAGCCUUGUACACACCGCCCGUCAAGUCAUGGAAGCCGGUAGUGCCCGAAGUGGCCCCGUAUCAGGGGUCCCUACGGCAAGAUCGGUGACUAGGACUAAGUCGUAAUAAGGUAGC